Molecule: small RNA, 107 nt
Filed under: Marmota monax (woodchuck)
Lineage: Eukaryota; Metazoa; Chordata; Mammalia; Rodentia; Sciuridae
Source: RNAcentral
GCCGGGUGAGGUGGCGCAUGCCUGUAAUCCCAGCAGUUUGGGAGGCUGAGGCAGGAGGAUCACAAGUUCAAAGCCAGCAUAAGCAACUCAGUGAGACCCUGUCUCUA